CUUCCCAAACCUCCCAUUCCUA
RNAcentral lists this microRNA (22 nucleotides) under Prunus persica (peach). Its description in RNAcentral is "ppe-miR482b-3p". Its record names the gene ppe-miR482b-3p. The record is from miRBase by way of RNAcentral. Lineage: Eukaryota; Viridiplantae; Streptophyta; Magnoliopsida; Rosales; Rosaceae.